GGCGAACGCUGGCGGCGUGCUUAACACAUGCAAGUCGAACGAUGACGACCGAGCUUGCUCGGUCUGAUUAGUGGCGAACGGGUGAGUAACACGUGAGCAACCUGCCCUUCACUCUGGGAUAACCUCGGGAAAUCGGGGCUAAUACCGGAUAUGAGCUCCUGUCGCAUGGCGGGUGUUGGAAAGUUUUUCGGUGAAGGAUGGGCUCGCGGCCUAUCAGUUUGUUGGUGAGGUAGUGGCUCACCAAGGCGAUGACGGGUAGCCGGCCUGAGAGGGCGACCGGCCACGCUGGGACUGAGACACGGCCCAGACUCCUACGGGAGGCAGCAGUGGGGAAUAUUGCACAAUGGGCGAAAGCCUGAUGCAGCGACGCCGCGUGAGGGAUGACGGCCUUCGGGUUGUAAACCUCUUUCAGCAGGGAAGAAGCGAAAGUGACGGUACCUGCAGAAGAAGCGCCGGCUAACUACGUG
RNAcentral lists this ribosomal RNA (467 nucleotides) under uncultured bacterium. RNAcentral describes it as "partial 16S ribosomal RNA". It matches the Rfam family "Bacterial small subunit ribosomal RNA", at positions 28 to 507 of the family's 1533-position model. The record is from RNAcentral.